UGCUGCCCCAAGCACCCUUUGGCUCAUUUACGGGGCUGCAUGAACAGGGACAUCUGGAUGCCAAGAGGACGGGAGAAACCUACAGGAAAGGCAGUGCCGGAGUGGAGGAACCCGAACGAACAAGCUGGAUGCUGUGGAUCUCAUCAGUGUGCAAGUCUUCUGAGUGGCAAAGAUCCCGAUUACUCUGCGUGAAAGCUCAGGCUGUUUCUUAAGCUGGAGGAUGGGAAGCAGAAUGGAGUCAAUGGGGAGUCGCCAGAUAGGUUGUAACCUCGGCACUCAGGCAGGCUGGUUUUGCGACGCCGUGUUCCAAACGUCAUGCUGAGGUCUCUCAGGAAAAGAGGAAGGUGAGUCACCCCACUCAAGGCCCAGAAGGGUGAGACACAACACAGCGAUCUGAACUGUUGCAGGAAGUGGCCAGUGCCUCACAACUUUGGUGUCCCUGCCUGGAUUGCUCAGAUGAUGAGGGCAGG
Long non-coding RNA from Microtus ochrogaster (prairie vole), 470 nucleotides. RefSeq lists it as uncharacterized. The record is from RefSeq and is a predicted model, not a curated record. NCBI's taxonomy places the organism in Eukaryota, Metazoa, Chordata, Mammalia, Rodentia, Cricetidae.